GUGAACGCUGGCGGUAGGCCUAACACAUGCAAGUCGAACGGCAGCACAGUAAGAGCUUGCUCUUACGGGUGGCGAGUGGCGGACGGGUGAGGAAUACAUCGGAAUCUACUUUUUCGUGGGGGAUAACGUAGGGAAACUUACGCUAAUACCGCAUACGACCUACGGGUGAAAGCAGGGGAUCUUCGGACCUUGCGCGAUUGAAUGAGCCGAUGUCGGAUUAGCUAGUUGGCGGGGUAAAGGCCCACCAAGGCGGCGAUCCGUAGCUGGUCUGAGAGGAUGAUCAGCCACACUGGAACUGAGACACGGUCCAGACUCCUACGGGAGGCAGCAGUGGGGAAUAUUGGACAAUGGGCGCAAGCCUGAUCCAGCCAUACCGCGUGGGUGAAGAAGGCCUUCGGGUUGUAAAGCCCUUUUGUUGGGAAAGAAAAGCAGCAGGUUAAUACCCCGCUGUUCUGACGGUACCCAAAGAAUAAGCACCGGCUAACUUCGUG
RNAcentral lists this ribosomal RNA (491 nucleotides) under uncultured bacterium. RNAcentral describes it as "partial 16S ribosomal RNA". It matches the Rfam family "Bacterial small subunit ribosomal RNA", at positions 29 to 507 of the family's 1533-position model. The record is from RNAcentral.